RNAcentral lists this ribosomal RNA (485 nucleotides) under uncultured bacterium. RNAcentral describes it as "partial 16S ribosomal RNA". It matches the Rfam family "Bacterial small subunit ribosomal RNA", at positions 28 to 507 of the family's 1533-position model. The record is from RNAcentral.
GAUGAACGCUGGCGGCGUGCUUAACACAUGCAAGUCGAACGGGAUCCCAGGGGUGCUUGCCCUUUUUGGUGAGCGUGGCGAACGGGUGAGUAACACGUGAGUAACCUGUCCUUUUCUUUGGGAUAAGCAUUCGAAAGGGUGUUUAAUACCUUAUGUUCUGUCUGCCUCGCAUGGGGUGGGUGGUAAAGGCUUUCGCCGGUUUUUGGUGGGCUCACGGUCUAUCAGGUUGUUGGUGGGAUGAUGGCGUAGCGAGGCUUUGACGGGUAGCCGGUCUGGGAGGGUGGUCGAACUGAGUCGGACUGCAGACCCGCACGGGAGGCAGCGGGAGGGAGCAGUGGGGGAUAGUGGAAAAUGUGAGAAAGCCAGAUGGAGCGAGGCAACGUGGGGGAUGAAGGCUUAAGGGUUGUUAUCUGCUAAGAAACGGAACAGGGUAUGCCAGUGGGUGUGUGGCGUGUAGGAAUUGAUAAGCGCCGGCUAACUACGUG